This 2476-nucleotide ribosomal RNA is filed under the name Streptomyces albus subsp. chlorinus. RNAcentral describes it as "partial 23S ribosomal RNA". It matches the Rfam family "Bacterial large subunit ribosomal RNA", at positions 590 to 2925 of the family's 2925-position model. Lineage: Bacteria; Bacillati; Actinomycetota; Actinomycetes; Kitasatosporales; Streptomycetaceae. The record is from RNAcentral.
GUCGUGACUGCGUGCCUUUUGAAGAAUGAGCCUGCGAGUUUGCGGCAUGUUGCGAGGUUAACCCGUGUGGGGGAGCCGUAGCGAAAGCGAGUCCGAAGAGGGCGUUGAGUAGCGUGUUCAAGACCCGAAGCGGGGUGAUCUAGCCAUGGGCAGGGUGAAGCGCGGGUAAGACCGUGUGGAGGCCCGAACCCACCAGGGUUGAAAACCUGGGGGAUGACCUGUGGUUAGGGGUGAAAGGCCAAUCAAACUCCGUGAUAGCUGGUUCUCCCCGAAAUGCAUUUAGGUGCAGCGUCGUGUGUUUCUUGCCGGAGGUAGAGCACUGGAUAGGCGAUGGGCCUUACCGGGUUACUGACCUUAGCCAAACUCCGAAUGCCGGUAAGUGAGAGCGCGGCAGUGAGACUGUGGGGGAUAAGCUCCAUGGUCGAGAGGGAAACAGCCCAGAGCAUCGACUAAGGCCCCUAAGCGUGUGCUAAGUGGGAAAGGAUGUGGAGUCGCAGAGACAACCAGGAGGUUGGCUUAGAAGCAGCCAUCCUUGAAAGAGUGCGUAAUAGCUCACUGGUCAAGUGAUUCUGCGCCGAUAAUGUAGCGGGGCUCAAGUACACCGCCGAAGUCGUGUCACUGCAAUGUGAGGGCUAACGCCUGUUGUGGUGGGUAGGGGAGCGUCGUGUGCCGGGUGAAGCAGCCGUGGAAGCGAGUUGUGGAUGGUUCACGAGUGAGAAUGCAGGCAUGAGUAGCGAUACAUGCGUGGGAAACGUGUGCGCCGAUUGACUAAGGGUUCCUGGGUCAAGUUGAUCUGCCCAGGGUAAGUCGGGACCUAAGGCGAGGCCGACAGGCGUAGUCGAUGGAGAACCGGUUGAUAUUCCGGUACCCGCUAUGCAGCGUCAAACAUCGAAUCAGGUGAUGCUAAGUCCGUGAAACCGCCUGUGCCGGCUUUGCUGGUUGCGGGUUUGGUGGAGCCGACGGUCCGAGUCUGUAGUAGGUGAGUGAUGGGGUGACGCAGUGAGGUAGUCCAUCCCGGGCGGUGGUUGUCCCGGGGUAAGGGUGUAGCCCGUCAGGUAGGUAAAUCCGUCUGGCGUUACAGGGGUGAGACCUGAUGCCGAGCCGUUUGUGGUGAAGUGGAUGAUCCUGUGCUGUCGAGAAAAGCCUCUAGCGAGUUGUGUGGCGGCCCGUACCCUAAACCGACUCAGGUGGUCUGGUAGAGAAUACCGAGGCGUUCGGGUGAACUAUGGUUAAGGAACUCGGCAAAAUGCCCCCGUAACUUCGGGAGAAGGGGGGCCUCUUCUGGUGAUCCAAUGUGCUUGGUGAGCUGGGGGUGGCCGCAGAGACCAGCGAGAAGCGACUGUUUACUAAAAACACAGGUCCGUGCGAAGCUGUAAGGCGAGGUAUACGGACUGACGCCUGCCCGGUGCUGGAACGUUAAGGGGACCGGUUAGUCAGGAUUCGUCCUGGUGAAGCUGAGAACUUAAGCGCCAGUAAACGGCGGUGGUAACUAUAACCAUCCUAAGGUAGCGAAAUUCCUUGUCGGGUAAGUUCCGACCUGCACGAAUGGCGUAACGACUUCUUGACUGUCUCAACCAUAGGCCCGGUGAAAUUGCACUACGAGUAAAGAUGCUCGUUUCGCGCAGCAGGACGGAAAGACCCCGGGACCUUUACUACAGCUUGAUAUUGGUGUUCGGUUCGGCUUGUGUAGGAUAGGUGGGAGACUGUGAAGCGGGCACGCCAGUGUUCGUGGAGUCGUUGUUGAAAUACCACUCUGGUCGUGCUGGAUGUCUAACCUGGGUCCGUGAUCCGGAUCGGGGACAGUGUCUGGUGGGUAGUUUAACUGGGGCGGUUGCCUCCUAAAGGGUAACGGAGGCGCCCAAAGGUUCCCUCAGCCUGGUUGGUCAUCAGGUGGUGAGUGUAAGUGCACAAGGGAGCUUGACUGUGAGACUGACGGGUCGAGCAGGGACGAAAGUCGGGACUAGUGAUCCGGCGGUGGCUUGUGGAAGCGCCGUCGCUCAACGGAUAAAAGGUACCCCGGGGAUAACAGGCUGAUCUUCCCCAAGAGUCCAUAUCGACGGGAUGGUUUGGCACCUCGAUGUCGGCUCGUCGCAUCCUGGGGCUGGAGUCGGUCCCAAGGGUUGGGCUGUUCGCCCAUUAAAGCGGUACGCGAGCUGGGUUUAGAACGUCGUGAGACAGUUCGGUCCCUAUCCGCUGCGCGCGUUGGAGUCUUGAGAAGGGCUGUCCCUAGUACGAGAGGACCGGGACGGACGGACCUCUGGUGUGCCAGUUGUUCUGCCAAGGGCAUGGCUGGUUGGCUACGUUCGGGAAGGAUAACCGCUGAAAGCAUCUAAGCGGGAAGCCUGCUUCGAGAUGAGGACUCCUGCCAACGUGAUUGGGUAAGGCUCCCUGGAGAUGACGGGGUUGAUAGGCCAGGUCUGGAAGCACGGUAACGUGUGGAGGUGACUGGUACUAAUAGGCCGAGGGCUUGUCCGUA